UACGUAGGGGGCAAGCGUUGUCCGGAAUCAUUGGGCGUAAAGAGCGUGUAGGCGGCCCGGUAAGUCCGCUGUGAAAGUCCAGGGCUCAACCCUGGGAUGCCGGUGGAUACUGUCGGGCUCGAGUCCGGAAGAGGCGAGUGGAAUUCCUGGUGUAGCGGUGAAAUGCGCAGAUAUCAGGAGGAACACCAAUUGCGAAGGCAGCUCGCUGGGACGUAACUGACGCUGAGACGCGAAAGCGUGGGGAGCAAACAGG
RNAcentral lists this ribosomal RNA (253 nucleotides) under uncultured bacterium. Its description in RNAcentral is "partial 16S ribosomal RNA". It matches the Rfam family "Bacterial small subunit ribosomal RNA", at positions 524 to 776 of the family's 1533-position model. The record is from RNAcentral.